GGUCUUUAAUUCUCCGGCCCGGCCCGCCCCGCCUGUGGAUCGGAGACAGGAAGUGAGUCAGAGGCAGUGCGGUACUCGGUAGUGGUGAUCUGUCGCUCGCACCCUAGUUUCACAGUUGCCCGUCUCGGCCUCUCCGAUAAGUGUGGAGUGGUCCGCCAGUCAGACGCGUUUCAGUUGUCAUUCGGGAGACCGAGAGCUCGACAUGCCCGGCGAGAAAGAGGACAGCGAAUGGCGGCGGCGGAGGGAGGAAGAGCUGGGCUUCAGGCCGCAGAAGGAGAUCCUCUACAACCAGCUGCUGCCCUACUCGCAGCACUUGGACCGCGAGUCGGCGUUUAUCUUGGGACAGAUCAAGGCCAACCUGGGUCGGGCCGUGCAGCUACGGGAGCUGUGGCCAGGGGUUUUAUUCUGGACCAGAAAACUUUCAACAUAUAUCCGACUGUAUGGGAGGAAGUUCAGCAAAGAAGAUCAUGUAAUAUUUGUUAAGUUGCUAUAUGAAUUAGUUAUCAUGCCGGAACUUGAGAUCAGCAUGAUGCAAGGAUUCACUCGAUUGUUAAUAAAUUUGCUCAAGAAGAAAGAACUCUUAUCAAGAGAGGAUUUACAGUUGCCAUGGAGACCAUUGUAUGUAACAGUAGAAAGAAUUUUGUACUCCAAGACAGAGCACCUUGGGUUAAAUUGGUUUCCAAAUUCGUUCCGACAAGGCUUGUCUUCUAAAUCGUGUGUGCUUAGUAUUUUGCAUAGGUGUUCCAUAGAAAAUCUGCUGAAGACGUUGGUGAAGUGUUGUCGACCGUAUUUUCCAGAUGAUGCUACAGCUGAGAUGUUAGAUGAAUGGCAGCCAUUGAUGUGUCCUUUUGAUGUCACAAUGCAGAAGGCAAUCAGCUAUUUUGAAAUGUUCCUUCCAACCUCUCUUCCACCUUAUUUGCAUCAUAAAGGAUUCAGGCUUUGGUUUGAUGAAUUUAUGGGCCUCUAUGUCUCAGUUCAGAAUCUCCCACAGUGGGAAGGGAACUUGGUAAACCUGUUUGCUCGUUUGGCUACAGAGAACAUUGGGUACAUUGAUUGGGAUGAAUACAUUCCAAAGAUUUUUACCAGAUUUCUGAGAAGUUUAAAUCUGCCAGUAGGAAGCAGUCAAGUGUCAACUUCCAAAUAUUUAUCAAAUGCAUAUGAAAUAGGCCAUGUGGUGGUUUGGAUCACAUCCAUGCUGGGGGGUCCUAGUAAGCUUGCACAGAAGCAUCUGAAUGGGCUUUUUAACAGUAUUGAAUCUUUCUAUCAUCCAUCUAAUAAUGGGAGAUGGUUGAUGAAACUGAUGAAGUUGAUACAACGUCUACCUACCAGUGUUGUUAGAAGACUACACAGAGAACGGUAUAAAAAGCCAACAUGGUUAAACACUGUACCAGACAGCCACAAACUGACAGAACAAGACAUUACUGAUUUUGUGGAAAGCAUUAAACAGCCUGUAGUGCUUGCUAUGUUCAGUAAAAUUGGAAGUCUUGAGGCUGCUCAGGCUCUUCAAAAUCUUGCUCUGAUGCGACCAGAGCUUGUCAUCCCCCCAGUGCUUGAAAAAACCUAUCCUGCGUUGCAGACUUUAACAGAGCCUCACCAACUUACAGCGACACUGAGCUGUGUGAUUGGAGUUGCUCGCAGCUUGGUAUCAGGAGGCAGGUGGUUCCCAGAAGGCCCAACGCAUAUGCUUCCUCUAUUAAUGAGAGCUCUACCUGGGGUGGAUCCAAAUGAUUUUAGCAAAUGCAUGAUCACCUUCCAGUUUAUAGCCACGUUUUCUACUCUUGUGCCUUUGGUUGACUGUUCAUCUAUUUUGCAAGAGAGAAAUGACCUCUCUGAGGUAGAAAAGCAACUUUGCUCAGCAACAGCAGAAUUUGAAGAUUUCGUUCUUCAGUUUAUGGACAGGUGCUUUGCACUGAUCGAAAUUAGCACUCUGGAACAAACCAGAGAGGAGACAGAAACUGAGAAGAUGACUCAUGUGGAAAGCUUAGUGGAACUGGGGCUCUCCUCAACUUUCAGUACUAUUCUCACACAGUGUUCCAAAGAAAUUUUUCAGGUUGCUUUGGACAAGGUGUUUAAUUUUGCUACAACUAAUAUUUUUGAAACUCGAGUGGCUGGCAGGAUGGUGGCAGACAUGUGCCGGGCAGCAUCUAAGUGUCGACCCGCCACAGCUUUGAAACAAUUUGUGCCACAUUGCUGCAACGUAAUAGGUCAACUAACCAUCAAUGAUGAUGUAUUGCAGGAGCAAGAGUUGGAUAAGGAACUGCUAUGGAAUCUUCAGCUGUUAUCGGAGGUUACGCGUGUAGAUGGUGAUAAAUUGCUGAUGUACAAGGAUCAACUUAUAAACAUUCUGCACCGAACACUACACCUAAAGUGUAAGCAAGGAUAUACUCUGGCUGGAAAUUUGUUACAUCAUCUCCUUCGUUCAACUACAUUAAUCUAUCCAAAAGAGUACUGUAGUGUACCAGGUGGUUUUGAUAAACCAUUCACAGAGUACUUUCCCAUUAAGGAUUGGGCAAAGCCAGGGGAUCUGUGGAAACUGGGUAUUCAGUGGCAUGUUCCUUCUGAUGAGGAGAUAACUUUUGCCUACUACUUGCUGGAUAACUUCCUUCAACCUGAGCUUUCCAGACUCAAACGCUGCGCUGAUGGAGAAAUAGAAAUGUCAAGGGAUGAUAUUCACCAGAGUUUGUGUAUUGUACAGAACUGCCUGAUGGGCUCAGGGAGCCUGUUGCCUUUCCUUGGUGGUGACCCCAUACCUGACUUGGCUCCAACUCUAGUAUCUUUGGAAGAGCUGAAACUUUGCAUUGGUGUUAAUUAUGAUACUACAAGAGAAAAUUACAGGGAAGCAAUUGCCCAAGUCAUGAGAAAGCUGCUACAUCAUAUGUUGGAUAACUCUGAAGAUGACACAAAAUCUUUAUUUGUAAUAAUUAAGAUUAUAGGAGACUUGUUGCAGUUUCGUGGCUCUUAUAAACACGAAUUUGACUCCAGAUGGAAAAGCUUUAACCUUGUGAAAAAAUCGAUGGAGAACAGGCUUCAUGGGAAGAAACAACAUAUCAGAGCACUGCUAAUUGAUCGAGUUAUGCUGCAGCAUGAGCUGCGAACUUUGACAAUUGAAGGUUGUGAAUAUAAAACAAUUCACCGUGAUCUAAUGCGAGAUCUUCUGCAGUUGUCGACGAGUACAUACAGUCAGGUGCGAAGUAAAGCCCAGCAUGUUUUCUUCACAGCUUUGGGGACUUACAAUUUUUGCUGUCGAGAUCUUAUUCCACUGGUGCUGAAAUACUUGCGCCCUGACAAACAGAAUACGAGUCAGCAACAAUUGAAAGGUGCUCUGUACUGUCUACUUGGGAACCCCAAUGGAGUCUGCUUGGCCAAUCUCCAUGACUGGGACUGCAUCAUUGCAACAUGGCCAGCUAUAGUCUGUUCCGGACUCAACAAAGCAAUGUUUCUCGAGAAGCCUUCCAUUGUUCGCCUGUUUGAUGACCUUUCAGAGAAAAUCCAUAGACAGUAUGAAACCAUUGGCUUAAAUUUUGAGCUUUCAGAUUGCUGUAUUGAGGUUUCUGCAUCCUUGUGCCAGACAAUUGAUCCAGCUUGUGGUAUGUCUCCUCUUACGGGUAAAGAGAUUGAAAAUGGAAUUCAGAAUCAAAUUGCGAAAAAUAGUGAGUCCUUAAGGAAUUAUGAAAAACUAAUCAAUACCUUGUUGGACCUUCUUGAACAGAGAAACUUACCAUGGAAAUUUGAACAAAUAGCUGUUGGUUUUCUGUCCCUCCUUCUGAGAGAUGAUGUACCCUUACCUAUGAGAGCAAUCAGAUUCUUCAUUCAGAGCCUUAAUCAUGAUGCUUUAGUAAUACGGAAGCUGGCAAUAUCUGCUGUGGCUGGCAUCAUGAAGCAGUUAAAGAGACCUCACAAAAAAAUAGAGAUUGAUCCAUAUGCAAUUAAUGGAUCAAGACCACCAAUAAUCCAGCCAGGAGAUAGGCUUGAUAAUCAGUGGCUUCAUUAUAAUAGCUCUAAUUUGCCAAAGACCAAGGAAGAAUGGGAAGCCUGCUUGUUUGUGGAAAAGACACACUGGGGGUACUAUACCUGGCCUCGAAAGAUGCUUAUUUAUGCUCCACUGGAUCAACAGCCUAAGUUAGGAAGGAGUAAAGAAGAAAUGUCAGAGGCAGAGCAAAUAAUUUAUGAUCAUUUCUCUGAUGUACACUUCGUAGAGAAAUUGAUAAAAUUUUUAUCCUUGGAAGACCGAAAGGGAAGGGACAAGUUUAAUCCACGCAGGUUUUGCCUGUUCAAGGGUUUGUUCAGAAACUUUGACACAGCCUUUUUACCAGUUUUAAAACCACAUUUAGAACGUCUCGUCUCAGAUUCUCAUGAAAGUGCUCAACGUUGUGGAGCUGAAAUCAUUGCAGGAUUGAUACGAGGUUCCAAACACUGGUAUCAUGAAAAGGUAGAGCAACUGUGGGAAACCCUCUCUCCCCUUCUUCGAACUGCUUUGUCCAGCAUCACAGUGGAGACUUACAAUGACUGGGGAACAUGCAUUGCCACAGCUUGUGAGAGCAGGGACCCCCGUAAAUUGCACUGGCUUUUUGACUUGCUAAUGGAUGCCCCAUUGAGUGGGGAAGGAGGAUCAUUUGGAGAUGCAUGCCGACUAUACAUUUUGCAGGGUGGUUUGGCUCAACAAGAGUGGAGAGUACCUGAAUUGAUGCAUAGACUCCUUGAAUACCUUGAGCCUAAACUCACACAGGUCUAUAAAAAUGUGCGAGAAAGGAUAGGAAGUGUUCUGACAUACUUAUUCAUGAUAGACAUCACUCUACCUAAUUCAAAUCCGACACUGUCACCACGUGUCUCUGAAUUCACCAGCUAUAUCACGGGCAAACUUAAACCUCUUAUGGAAAUUGAUGAAGAGAUACAAAAUCAUGUUGUUGACGAUAAUGGUAUUGGGGAACAAGAUGAAAGAACCCAAGCUAUUAAGCUUCUGAAAACAGUUUUGAAAUGGUUAAUGGCAAGUGCAGGAAGGUCAUUUUCUACAGCAAUUGCAGAACAGCUCCAUCUUAUGCCGCUGUUGUUCAAGAUUGCUCCAGUGGAAAAUGACGAGAGCUAUGAUGAACUCAAAAGAGAUGCUAAGAUGUGUUUAUCACUCAUGUCUCAGGGAUUGCUAUAUCCCCAGCAAGUCACUAUGGUACUAGAUAUUAUGAAGCAGACAUCAGAGAGCAGUUCUUGGCAUGCAAAGUACACUGUUUUAACUUACCUCCAGACCAUGGUGUUCUACAAUCUCUUUGUAUUUUUGGACAAUAAACAGGCUGUCCAAGAUAUAAGAUGGCUUGUCUUAAAACUUUUAGAAGAUGAACAAUUAGAGACAAGAGAGAUGGCUGCUAUCACCUUGAGUGGUCUGUUGCAGUGCAAUUUCUUGACUAUGGAUUCUGCCAUGCAGCUGCACUUCGAACAGCUCUGCAAGACCAGACUUCCAAAAAAGAGGAAGCGAGACCCAGGCACAGUAGCAGAUACAAUUCCUGCAGCAGAUUUGGUUCGUCGGCAUGCUGGAGUGCUAGGAUUAAGUGCCUGCAUCUUAUCGAGUCCAUAUGAAGUGCCCACUUGGAUGCCACAGCUUCUGAUGAACCUCAGUGGUCACCUAAAUGACCCACAACCUAUAGAGAUGACCGUGAAAAAAACAUUAUCUAAUUUUCGAAGAACUCACCAUGAUAACUGGCAAGAGCAUAAACAGCAGUUCACAGACGAUCAGUUAGUGAUUCUUGCAGACCUCCUUGUCUCACCAUGUUAUUAUGCCUGAGGAGCUUCACUGAAUUGGACUAUGUCAUUCAUAAUUAUAAUGGCAAUGUGUGGACUAAGGUUGGACUGAAGAAAUUUCUAUAAGUACAAAAAUCACUAAUAACUACAUAACAACUAGAUAGUAGUUCUAAUGACACUAAAGGAAAAGAGUAUUGGUGCUACCACUAUUGAACAAUGGAGAACAUUUAUUUUGUACAUAUGCCUGAGAAUCCCACUUAACCGUACAAAUCUCUGAAGAUCCAAGGAAGCUGCAAAUACUAAUAUUUUGUGUUCUUAAAGAUAUGGAGAUUUUUUUUCAAUCCAAGUAAAUAAUUCACCAAACAGUAGAUAUUGUGUACAUAAAUGUGUUUAGUAGUAUUUUGACUUCAAGUUUAUAAUAUGUAGACAAUACUGCUUUUGCUAAUUUACAGAAAUUGUAAUUAAAAACAAAUCACUUUGCUGAAUUUGUACAGCUCUUGUACAGUUUUUGCUCAAAAUAUCUAACUUCUUGAUUGUUCUUAAGAUAGUUGUUGGCUAUUUAAUUGACACAUUUCAUAACUGUUAUUUAGGGCUGUAAAGGAAAUGUAAAAACUGUACAAAGGAGAUAAAAUACAUUUGUACAGAAUGUAAUCUUUAAAGAUGUGGUGUUGUGAUAUUGAGCUUCAUUUGUAAUGUUGUGAAUGUUUAGUGGUUCUGUCUUCAGAUCACAUGCUUUUCUCAUGGUUCUGUAGCUAUGCUUUCAAGAAAGUACAUUUUAAUCAUAAGUUUUGCUUUAAUGAUUAAAGUUUACCCUGCACCUUUGGUGUCUUCAAGAUCAUUUUAAUGUCUUGGAGUCUAUGAACUUUUUAUUAAAUUAAUUUAAGAAUUUUAUUAAAUUUCACUAUCUUCAUUUGCUUUUCUCAAUUACUUAGUAUUUGUUACAAUGUAUGAAAGGCCAGUAUCAAAAGUACUAUCCUUUAAAAUGCAGUUGAUGCAAUGAAAACCAUGGGUAAAAGGUCAGAUCAUAUGAUUGUACUUUUUCAAAGACUUAACCACUAUAAAGGGUUGUGUCAAAAGAAAUGGUUUAAGAUGAACUAUCACAUUUUAAAGCCAAUAAAUGGAUUGUUUUAUUACA
Hypanus sabinus (Atlantic stingray) is the source of this 6862-nucleotide RNA transcript. It is a transcript of the gene named proteasome activator complex subunit 4-like, with no coding region annotated. The transcript is spliced from 49 exons. The record is from RefSeq and is a predicted model, not a curated record. Lineage: Eukaryota; Metazoa; Chordata; Chondrichthyes; Myliobatiformes; Dasyatidae.